GGUCAGCAUACUGCCGUGAAUACGUUCCCGGGCCUUGUACACACCGCCCGUCACACCAUGAGAGUUGGGAAUACCCGAAGCCUGUGAGCUAACGUAAGAGGCAGCAGUCGAAGGUAGAAUCAAUGAUUGGGGUGAAGUCGUAACAAGGUAUC
Molecule: ribosomal RNA, 152 nt
Filed under: uncultured bacterium
Lineage: Bacteria
Description: partial 16S ribosomal RNA
Rfam family: Bacterial small subunit ribosomal RNA
Source: RNAcentral